CCUACGUGCGGCAGCAGUGAGGAAUAUUGGUCAAUGGCCGGAAGGCUGAACCAGCCAAGUCGCGUGAGGGAGGAAGGAGCAGUGGGUCGUAAACCUCUUUUGUCGGGGGAUAAAGGGAUCGACGUGUGGGGAUUUGCAGGUACCCUGUGAAUAAGCAUCGGCUAACUCCGUGCCAGUAGCCGCGGUAAUACGGAGGAGGCGAGCGUUAUCCGGAUUUAUUGGGGUUAAAGGGUGCGGAGGCGGUGUUUUAAGUCAGCGGUGGAAGUGUGGGGCUCACACCCCGACUUGCCGGUGAAACUGGAAGCCUUGAGUGUGUUUGAGGCAUGCGGAAUGCGUGGUGUAGCGGUGAAAUGCAUAGAUAUCGCGCAGAACCCCGAUUGCGAAGGCAGCUUACCGUGCCACCACUGACGCUGAGGCACGAAAGCGCGGGGAUCGAACAGGAUUAGAUACCCUGGUAGUC
RNAcentral lists this ribosomal RNA (460 nucleotides) under uncultured bacterium. RNAcentral describes it as "partial 16S ribosomal RNA". It matches the Rfam family "Bacterial small subunit ribosomal RNA", at positions 338 to 795 of the family's 1533-position model. The record is from RNAcentral.